GACGAACGCUGGCGGCGUGCUUAACACAUGCAAGUCGAACGAUGAAGCUGGAGCUUGCUCCGGUGGAUUAGUGGCGAACGGGUGAGUAACACGUGAGUAAUCUGCCCUUGACUCUGGGAUAACUGCGGGAAACUGUAGCUAAUACCGGAUACGACACCUUCGGGCAUCCGAUGGGUGUGGAAAGAAUUUCGGUCAAGGAUGAACUCGCGGCCUAUCAGCUAGUUGGUGAGGUAAUGGCCCACCAAGGCGACGACGGGUAGCCGGCCUGAGAGGGUGACCGGCCACACUGGGACUGAGACACGGCCCAGACUCCUACGGGAGGCAGCAGUGGGGAAUAUUGCACAAUGGGCGAAAGCCUGAUGCAGCAACGCCGCGUGAGGGAUGAAGGCCUUCGGGUUGUAAACCUCUUUUAGUUGGGAAGAAGCGAAAGUGACGGUACCAACAGAAAAAGCACCGGCUAACUACGUGCCAGCCGCCGCGGUAA
Molecule: ribosomal RNA, 484 nt
Filed under: uncultured bacterium
Lineage: Bacteria
Description: partial 16S ribosomal RNA
Rfam family: Bacterial small subunit ribosomal RNA
Source: RNAcentral